UACAGAGGUCUCAAGCGUUGUUCGGAUUCAUUGGGCGUAAAGAGCUCGUAGGCGGCUUGUCGCGUCGUCCGUGAAAACCUGCAGCUCAACUGCAGGCUUGCGGUCGAUACGGGCAGGCUAGAGUUCGGUAGGGGAGACUGGAAUUCCUGGUGUAGCGGUGAAAUGCGCAGAUAUCAGGAGGAACACCGGUGGCGAAGGCGGGUCUCUGGGCCGAUACUGACGCUGAGGAGCGAAAGCGUGGGGAGCGAACAGG
Molecule: ribosomal RNA, 253 nt
Filed under: uncultured bacterium
Lineage: Bacteria
Description: partial 16S ribosomal RNA
Rfam family: Bacterial small subunit ribosomal RNA
Source: RNAcentral